Molecule: long non-coding RNA, 796 nt
Organism: Oncorhynchus kisutch (coho salmon)
Lineage: Eukaryota; Metazoa; Chordata; Actinopteri; Salmoniformes; Salmonidae
Exons: 2
Source: RefSeq, a predicted model, not a curated record
GCCAGUUGGUGGCGAAAUGCACCUUAAACUGAUUGCUAAUAUCAAGUCUGGAAGUUCCGGCUCCCAUUCAAUUAAUUGGAUCUCACAACAAACAUUCUUCCCCUACUUCUUGUAAACAAAAGCCAACGUGGGUGCUUGAAAGAUGGGAGAUUUAUCGUUGAAGUAGAAGUACUCACUUUUAUAUGACCCGUCUUCAAAAUUCUACAAGGAUCCAACUAAAAAAAGAUGCAUUAUGGAGUGAGAUUGCAAAGACCAUGCACAUUUCAGAAGAUGAAUUGUGCAAAACCAGAUGGAAGUCCCUCCGUGACACUUUUGUAAGGCCAACAAAAGACAGAAGAGUCUCCAUCUCUUCUGCACUCAUCUGGAAGUAUCGGUGAUGUCGGGCAGGGUCCAAAAGCAACUCCUGGACAACUUGGUAGUAUUGCCCAUGCUCCCUUCUCAGCACAUUUAUGGGAUGCACCCAUAACCUCCUCCUCCUUCCCUGUCUGAGCCUCAAUAAUACAAGGGCGACCAACUUCUGUUUUUAGCAGGUGGUGUCUGUUAAUCCAUGCUGUUUAGAAAAGCAUAGUUUAGUUUUAGUUGUAUAAUAAUACAGGUUCUUAUUUCAUGGGCUUUUAUUCUUUUAUUCAGCAUUGUUUAUUUCUCAUCCCAGAGUGGUUUGGUUGUAAGGUGAAAGAGACUGGCUAAUUAUAGUAAUCAGCCUGCCAUCAUGUAUAUUAUUGGCAUAAUGGAGUCUUUGAGAGGAAAGUGCCUAAAUGUGUAAAACAAUUUGCAUUUAUUAAAUGUAUUAACUCCU